RNAcentral lists this ribosomal RNA (253 nucleotides) under uncultured bacterium. RNAcentral's name for it is "partial 16S ribosomal RNA". It matches the Rfam family "Bacterial small subunit ribosomal RNA", at positions 524 to 776 of the family's 1533-position model. The record is from RNAcentral.
UACGUAGGGGGCUAGCGUUGUCCGGAAUCAUUGGGCGUAAAGCGCGUGUAGGCGGUCCGGUAAGUCCGCUGUGAAAGUCGGGGGCUCAACCCUCGGAUGCCGGUGGAUACUGUCGGGCUUGAGUACGGAAGAGGCGAGUGGAAUUCCUGGUGUAGCGGUGAAAUGCGUAGAUAUCCGGAGGAACACCGGUGGCGAAGGCGGCUUCCUGGACCGACAUUGACGCUGAGGCGCGAAAGCUAGGGGAGCAAACGGG